AAGUCGUAACAAGGUAACCGUAGGUGAACCUGCGGUUGGAUCAUUAAUGAACUUGGGUUGAGUGGCUUGUUGCCCCUCGAUCGUCAACCCCUUGUGAAUUGUAAUUGUAUUUGGCAAGUGAUGCCGCAGCUUGCGGUAGAAUUUCGCCUCCCUGCGGGUUAACUAACUAAAGGGGGGGUUGAAAGCUUGUCCCCUGUAAUCUAGACCAUAUAAUGCAUUUAAUCCUGAACAAUAAAUCAGAGAAAUACUGAAACAACUUUUGGCAACGGAUCUCUUGGCUCUC
This 283-nucleotide unclassified non-coding RNA is filed under the name fungal sp. RNAcentral describes it as "partial internal transcribed spacer region". The stretch from base 1 to 46 matches the Rfam family "Eukaryotic small subunit ribosomal RNA", at positions 1786 to 1831 of the family's 1831-position model. Lineage: Eukaryota; Fungi. The record is from RNAcentral.